GGAUGUGAGGGCGAUCUGGCUGCGACAUCUGUCACGCCAUUGAUCGCCAGGGUUGAUUCGGCUGAUCUGGCUGGCUAGGCGGGUGUCCCCUUCCUCCCUCACCGCUCCAUGUGCGUCCCUCCCGAAGCUGCACGGUCGGUUGAAGAGGACGACCAUCCCCGAUAGAGGAGGACCGUUCUUAGGUCAAGGGUAUACGAGUAGCUGCGCUCCCCUGCUAGAACCUCCAAACAAGCUCCCAAUUACUGACCCCCUCUAAGCCUGCUGAAAUGAUACAUGAUCACAUCUCAAAGCGCUUGGCGCAUGGCAUGUGCUGAAACAUAUCAGCAAAAU
Molecule: small nuclear RNA, 330 nt
Filed under: Canis lupus familiaris (dog)
Lineage: Eukaryota; Metazoa; Chordata; Mammalia; Carnivora; Canidae
Also listed under: 1 other name
Description: 7SK RNA
Rfam family: 7SK RNA
About the family: 7SK was discovered as an abundant small nuclear RNA in the mid-70s but a possible function has only recently been suggested. Two independent studies have found that 7SK RNA binds the CDK9/cyclin T complex (known as elongation factor P-TEFb). P-TEFb activates transcription by phosphorylating the C-terminal domain of RNA polymerase II.
Source: Rfam by way of RNAcentral